GAUGAACGCUGGCGGCGUGCCUAAUACAUGCAAGUCGAGCGAACAGAUGAGGAGCUUGCUCCUCUGACGUUAGCGGCGGACGGGUGAGUAACACGUGGAUAACCUACCUAUAAGACUGGGAUAACUUCGGGAAACCGGAGCUAAUACCGGAUAAUAUAUUGAACCGCAUGGUUCAAUAGUGAAAGACGGUUUUGCUGUCACUUAUAGAUGGAUCCGCGCCGCAUUAGCUAGUUGGUAAGGUAACGGCUUACCAAGGCAACGAUGCGUAGCCGACCUGAGAGGGUGAUCGGCCACACUGGAACUGAGACACGGUCCAGACUCCUACGGGAGGCAGCAGUAGGGAAUCUUCCGCAAUGGGCGAAAGCUUGACGGAGCAACGCCGCGUGAGUGAUGAAGGUCUUCGGAUCGUAAAACUCUAUUAUUAGGGAAGAACAAAUGUGUAAGUAACUAUGCACGUCUUGACGGUACCUAAUCAGAAAGCCACGGCUAACUACGUG
Molecule: ribosomal RNA, 497 nt
Filed under: uncultured bacterium
Lineage: Bacteria
Description: partial 16S ribosomal RNA
Rfam family: Bacterial small subunit ribosomal RNA
Source: RNAcentral